AGCAGUCGCCGCGGGAAUACGUAGGGGGCAAGCGUUAUACGGAAUAACCGGGCGUAAAGGGUGCGCAGGUGGUUUAACAAGUUAGUGGUGAAAGGCAUAGGCUCAACCAAUGUAAGCCAUUAAAACUGUUUAACUUGAGUGCAGGAGAGGAAAGUGGAAUUCCUAGUGUAGCGGUGAAAUGCGUAGAUAUUAGGAGGAAUACCAGUGGCGAAGGCGACUUUCUGGACGAAAACUGACGCUGAGGCGCGAAAGCCAGGGGAGCGAACGGGAUUAGAUACCCGCGUAGUCCCUGUCUCUUAUACA
Molecule: ribosomal RNA, 303 nt
Filed under: uncultured bacterium
Lineage: Bacteria
Description: partial 16S ribosomal RNA
Rfam family: Bacterial small subunit ribosomal RNA
Source: RNAcentral